RNAcentral lists this ribosomal RNA (619 nucleotides) under uncultured Bacteroidales bacterium. RNAcentral describes it as "bacterial SSU rRNA". It matches the Rfam family "Bacterial small subunit ribosomal RNA", at positions 73 to 686 of the family's 1533-position model. The record is from RNAcentral. Lineage: Bacteria; Pseudomonadati; Bacteroidota; Bacteroidia; Bacteroidales.
AGUUUGCUUGCAAACUGGAGAUGGCGACCGGCGCACGGGUGAGUAACGCGUAUCCAACCUGCCGAUAACUCGGGGAUAGCCUUUCGAAAGAAAGAUUAAUACCCGAUAGUAUAAUUAGACCGCAUGGUCUUAUUAUUAAAGAAUUUCGGUUAUCGAUGGGGAUGCGUUCCAUUAGGCAGUUGGUGAGGUAACGGCUCACCAAACCUUCGAUGGAUAGGGGUUCUGAGAGGAAGGUCCCCCACAUUGGAACUGAGACACGGUCCAAACUCCUACGGGAGGCAGCAGUGAGGAAUAUUGAUCAAUGGGCGCAGGCCUGAACCAGCCAAGUAGCGUGAAGGAUGACUGCCCUAUGGGUUGUAAACUUCUUUUAUAUGGGAAUAAAGUUUUCCACGUGUGGAAUUUUGUAUGUACCAUAUGAAUAAGGAUCGGCUAACUCCGUGCCAGCAGCCGCGGUAAUACGGAGGAUCCGAGCGUUAUCCGGAUUUAUUGGGUUUAAAGGGAGCGUAGGUGGACAGUUAAGUCAGUUGUGAAAGUUUGCGGCUCAACCGUAAAAUUGCAGUUGAUACUGGCUGUCUUGAGUACAGUAGAGGUGGGCGGAAUUCGUGGUGUAGCGGUGAAA